Molecule: transfer RNA, 72 nt
Filed under: Schistosoma mansoni
Lineage: Eukaryota; Metazoa; Platyhelminthes; Trematoda; Strigeidida; Schistosomatidae
Rfam family: tRNA
About the family: Transfer RNA (tRNA) molecules are approximately 80 nucleotides in length. Their secondary structure includes four short double-helical elements and three loops (D, anti-codon, and T loops). Further hydrogen bonds mediate the characteristic L-shaped molecular structure. tRNAs have two regions of fundamental functional importance: the anti-codon, which is responsible for specific mRNA codon recognition, and the 3' end, to which the tRNAs corresponding amino acid is attached (by aminoacyl-tRNA synthetases). tRNAs cope with the degeneracy of the genetic code in two manners: having more than one tRNA (with a specific anti-codon) for a particular amino acid; and 'wobble' base-pairing, i.e. permitting non-standard base-pairing at the 3rd anti-codon position.
Source: RNAcentral
GUUCGGUGAUAUAGUGGUUAUCAUGUCUGCUUUACACGCAGAAGGUCCCCGGUUCGAACCGUGGUCGAACUC